CCGGAGUGGACGAACCUCUGGUGUUCGGGUUGUCAUGCCAAUGGCAUUGCCCGGUAGCUAAGUUCGGAAUCGAUAACCGCUGAAAGCAUCUAAGCGGGAAGCGAGCCCUGAGAUGAGUCUUCCCUGAUACUUUAAGUAUCCUAAAGGGUUGUUCGAGACUAGAACGUUGAUAGGCAGGGUGUGUAAGCGUUGUGAGGCGUUGAGCUAACCUGUACUAAUUGCCCGUGAGGCUUAACCAUACAACACCC
Molecule: ribosomal RNA, 248 nt
Filed under: Vibrio sp. AND4
Lineage: Bacteria; Pseudomonadati; Pseudomonadota; Gammaproteobacteria; Vibrionales; Vibrionaceae
Description: partial 23S ribosomal RNA
Rfam family: Bacterial large subunit ribosomal RNA
Source: RNAcentral